CAUUAACCUGAACUGAAUCUCCCCACACGAAUCAGGACUGGACUAAGAGAGACAAAGCUAAAGAGUUGCAGCAAAGCAACACCAAGCCAAGAAUUCAUUUUGGAUACAGUAUCUCACAAAAGUGAAGUCGAACUCCGAACCUGUCACGGCCAUUCUUUCCUGCCAAACAAAUUAAUCCUGCACAAAGAAUCAUGGGAACAAAGUGUCCAUCAGUUGUACCCUUCGAGAUCCUUCAUUCUGAAGGGCCCUUUGAAGUGGGCAGUUUUGAGCACUUUGGUUUGGAACGACACUUCAAUAUGGCUGCCAUGAUUGUUCUCACGCCUAAGUUCCUUUCGGAGGUGAAUUUAUCUUGUUUGGAAUGCAAAACAAAAACAAACAUGACCAACCAUAAUGCCACAGUGUGUUUAAAGAGGACAUGUAAACUAUAUAUUGAAUAGGGUUCAGAAUGGACCUAAUGUCUACUGUAGAAAACACUACAUAGAUAGCAUUAAAGGGUGUGGCUGUCAGGCGAUGGCUAAUUGUGACGAAUGAUGCACUUUUGUUUAUUACCGGUUACAUUUCAAAUUUCCACA
Molecule: long non-coding RNA, 572 nt
Organism: Ictalurus punctatus (channel catfish)
Lineage: Eukaryota; Metazoa; Chordata; Actinopteri; Siluriformes; Ictaluridae
Exons: 3
Source: RefSeq, a predicted model, not a curated record